AUGGCGACCUCGACGCUGCUGCGUGCUCUGAGGCGGCCCUCCUCGGUGGCCGCGCUGCGAUUGGCAACGACUGCCAAUGUGCAAGCCGUUACUGGAUACAGGCAUCUGAAUAAUCGGAAUCUAAGUGUUUUCAACGAGUUCUCAAAGCAGCUGAAGGGUGAGGCUAAGAGUAAUCCUGAAUUCCAGAAAUCCAUGAAGGAGUUCAGUGAGAAACUUGGUGUGGUAAAGGAAGAUCUCAAAGUAAGAACUCAGAAAACAGCCGAGACAAUUUCCAAGAGUGUUGAAGAUGUUAUGACUGAAGCUGAGGCAACAUCCAAAAAGGUUACUGCAAAUGUUAAAGAAAAAAUGUCUGCUGCUACAGAAGAGGUGAAGGAAAGCUUUGGACUAGGAAAGGAAGAAACUUCAAGCUUCAGAGAUGGUUCACAUGGAACUUCAAAUCACGGGAAAACUGAGGCGUCCUCACAUUCAGAUGACAAGUCCCAAGAUGCCACAAGUGCCUAUAUGUUGUUUGAUAAAUUAAGGUCAACAUUUUCAUCAGCUUCACCAGUUGUGUCUGGUGCAUUUGCAAAAUUGAAGGACACAAGAGUCUCAGCUUUAGCUAAGCAGGGAUAUGAAAUUGUCAAAGAUGAACUAAGCUCUAGCUCUAGCAGAAAAAAGAAAAACCAUAUUAGGCAAGCUUAUUCUGCAGCUGUAGAGAAGAGUACAAGAACUGAUAUAGUUAUUGUACCAACAAAGAAGUCAGUGGUGGGUGAAAAAUGGGAAGCAAUCAAGAAUAAGAUGCGAGGUCAUCCAGUCUAUAAGAGGGUGAACGAGUACACCAAACCUGUCGUAACAAAGGUGAACGAGUACACCAAACCUGUCGUAACAAAGGGACAAGAGGUAGCUGAGGAUGUCCGAGAAAGAUGGGAGACAAGUGACCAUCCAGUAGUUCAGAAAAUUCAAGAUAUUAAUGAAACUAUUUUUGAAGAGACCGCUACUGCAGCAUCUUUCAGGGAAAUUCGGCGACGUGACCCAUCCUUUUCAUUAUCCGAUUUUAUUGGUGAUGUUCAAGAAAUGAUCAAGCCUGUUCUUACCGCAUAUUCAAAGGGUGAUCUGAAGACUUUAAAAAAGUACUGCACCAAGGAAAUACUUGAACGAUGCGAAGGAGAGAGGAAAGGAUAUGCAUCACAAGGCAUGUUUUUUGAUCACAAGAUUCUUCACAUAUCUGAUGCCGACGUAAGGGAAACAAAGAUGUUGGGAUCAGCACCCAUCAUUCUCGUGAUGUUCCGAACACAGGAGAUUCAUUGUAUUCGUGAUAAAGAAGGACAAGUAACAGAAGGAGGACAGGAUUCCAUUCGCACCGUCUACUAUCAAUGGGCAAUGCAACUCAUGGACAGCGAUGAGUUGCCAGAAGAAGAAUCAUACUAUGCAGUUUGGCGGUUGCGUGAGAUGCAUCAGCUUGGUGUCAAGGCUCUUAUAUAG
RNAcentral lists this ribosomal RNA (1461 nucleotides) under Triticum aestivum (bread wheat). RNAcentral's name for it is "partial small subunit ribosomal RNA". Lineage: Eukaryota; Viridiplantae; Streptophyta; Magnoliopsida; Poales; Poaceae. The record is from RNAcentral.